Molecule: ribosomal RNA, 253 nt
Filed under: uncultured bacterium
Lineage: Bacteria
Description: partial 16S ribosomal RNA
Rfam family: Bacterial small subunit ribosomal RNA
Source: RNAcentral
GACGGAAGGUGCAAGCGUUGCUCGGAAUCACUGGGCGUAAAGGGUGCGUAGGCGGCUUCUUAAGUCUGGUGUGAAAGCCCAGGGCUUAGCUCUGGAAGUGCACUAGAAACUGGGAAGCUUGAGUACCGGAGGGGAGAGUGGAAUUCCUGGUGUAGCGGUGAAAUUCGUAGAUAUCAGGUGGAACACCAGUGGCGAAGGCGGUACUCUGGGCCUUACCUGACGCUGAGACGCGAAAGCGUGGGGAGCGAACCGG